AUUUGUUUAAAAAAAGUACAUCUCGGCCCUAAAGCCUCAGGAAAGACAAACAUUCCUUUUCCAAACAAAGGAAAACCACCGAGGUGGGGACGCGCGGCCCAUCGUUGCUUCUGGCUCGGAUGCCAGAUGCGGAGACGGCGGCUCUGCUCGCCUGUUGGUGGGGCGGGCUGAGGGAAGGCUCGCUUUCGCUGACUGAUCGGGAUUCAGCCGUGCAGCGAUAAAAGGAAGUUUUAUGCUAGGGAAACUUCGGUGAAAAUGAAUCUGCACCCGGGGUUUUGACAGGCAGCCAAGAUCAGCAGAGCGCCCCCCCUCCCACCGUGCAGCAGAGAGGGAUCCCCGCGCCCCCUCGUGUCCGGGGGGCCAGGAGCCCUUUCCGCUCUGGAGCAGAGCACGGCUCUCCACGGCUGCACCUUCCACAGUCCAGUUCAGAUGUAGCCAGGAGGUACAGGGUGAGAAAUAUCCCUGGUAUGUUCCUGGAGAAAAGAUGGAUAAGAAGGAGCAGCUAAUGAGAGCUUUCCCAAAGCCACAGGGUUGUAAAGAAGAAAGAGUAAAAGGGCAUUUUCUGGUAUGUUGACCCCUGAAGUAUGCAUACUGUGAUCCUACAGUCAGAAAACACCACAUUACAUAGUUAUUCCAUUAUGAAUUAUAUACAGGAUGUUUUCACUGCUUGAAAAUGGCCCAUUGGCUGUAGGAUUAGUGCAUGUGCACCUAAUGUUGUCUGUUCUCAUCAGCAAAGUUUUUGGAAAAUACAACAGACAAGACAGCUUUUUAGGAUUGAUGACAUCAUACACAUUGAGUUAAUGACUAAUAAAGAUCUUUUACUCCUGCCUUUGAAAGCAGAUUUCCAAUGAUAUUAUUUUUACUCAGAAUGAAAGAGGCUCUUGACUUCCUCCUCCAUUGCAGUUCCAAGCUGUGACCUGCUCUUUCUCUUUCAUUUGGGUUCAGAAACAGAUCCAGUAGUGAUGGUCCUGACCCUCGGCCGCUGACCGCUUUCCCUGUGGCUCCUGUGUCUUCCUCUGAUUGGCUGCUGUGUGUCAGAGCCAGUUUGCUCUUUAAUUGUGCGUUUGACAUCUUCUCCAGCAGUUCCUGAAAGGGAAAAGGGUUAUAAAAUCGCACUGAAGGUGUUUCAGAAACAGUGCAGAUGCUGAUUUUUUGCAUCCUUGUUUUUAAUGCUACCAAAUAUUAAGAAAUAGUUCAAAUGUCCCCUCCCUACUCUGAUGUUUAUAUGUGAGAGAACUCAAUUGCACAUUGUGUUGAGAAACCUAUCAUUAAAAGACUAUAAAAAUACAAAGAAUUUCUCUAAACAAUCUUAA
This 1313-nucleotide long non-coding RNA is filed under the name Lepisosteus oculatus (spotted gar). Its description in RNAcentral is "lncRNA (ENSLOCG00000021256.1)". The record is from RNAcentral. Lineage: Eukaryota; Metazoa; Chordata; Actinopteri; Semionotiformes; Lepisosteidae.